AACUUACUCCCUCCGUCCGAAAAUACUUGUCAUCAAAAUGGAUAAAAAAUAAUGUAUGUAGAACUAAAAUACGUCUAGAUACAUCUCCUUUUAUCCAUUUUGAUGACAUGUAUUUCCGGACAGAGGGAGUAUUUC
Non-coding RNA from Triticum urartu, 135 nucleotides. NCBI's taxonomy places the organism in Eukaryota, Viridiplantae, Streptophyta, Magnoliopsida, Poales, Poaceae. The record is from Rfam.